ACAUGUCUUUUAGAAAUUAAUUUAAAGUCUAGCCUGCCCACUGAAAUUUUUUAAAUGGCCGCAGUAUCCUAACUGUGCAAAGGUAGCAUAAUCAUUAGUCUUUUAAUUGAAGGCUGGAAUGAAUGGUUGGAUGAAAUAUUAACUGUUUCAUAAAAAUUUACAGUAGAAUUUUAUUUUUUAGUCAAAAAGCUAAAAUAUAAUUAAAAGACGAGAAGACCCUAUAAAUCUUUAUAUUUUAAAAAUUACAAUUAUAUAGAUAAAUUAAAUUUUAAUUUUCAGAAAUAUUUUAUUGGGGUGAUAUUAAAAUUUGAUAAACUUUUAAUUUAUUAUUAACAUAAAUUAAUGAAUUUUUGAUCCAUAUAUUAUGAUUAAAAAAUUAAGUUACUUUAGGGAUAACAGCGUAAUUUUUUUAGAGAGUUCAUAUUGAUAAAAAAGAUUGCGACCUCGAUGUUGGAUUAAGAUGCAGUUUUAGGUGCAGCAGCUUAAACUUAAAGUCUGUUCGACUUUUAAAUUCUUACAU
RNAcentral lists this ribosomal RNA (520 nucleotides) under Myriophora alexandrae. RNAcentral describes it as "partial 16S ribosomal RNA". The stretch from base 392 to 520 matches the Rfam family "Bacterial large subunit ribosomal RNA", at positions 2473 to 2601 of the family's 2925-position model. The record is from RNAcentral. Lineage: Eukaryota; Metazoa; Arthropoda; Insecta; Diptera; Phoridae.